RNAcentral lists this ribosomal RNA (1019 nucleotides) under Salmonella enterica subsp. enterica serovar Tamberma. RNAcentral describes it as "partial 23S ribosomal RNA". It matches the Rfam family "Bacterial large subunit ribosomal RNA", at positions 899 to 1924 of the family's 2925-position model. The record is from RNAcentral. Lineage: Bacteria; Pseudomonadati; Pseudomonadota; Gammaproteobacteria; Enterobacterales; Enterobacteriaceae.
GGGGUAGAGCACUGAAUGAUCUAGGGGGCAUAUUGCUUACUGAAAUCAAUCAAACUCCGAAUACCAUAAUUUAUAGCUCAGGAGUGAGACUAUGGGAGUUAACUUCCAUUGUCAAAAGGGAAACAACCCAGACCACCAGCUAAGGUCCCUAAUUAUAACUAAGUGGGAAAGGAGGUGGAGAUUCACAAACAACUAGGAGGUUGGCUUAGAAGCAGCCAUACCUUUAAAGAGUGCGUAAUAGCUCACUAGUCGAGAGUCUCUGCGCCGACAAUGUAACGGGGCUAAGUUAUAAACCGAAGCUGUGGAAUCCAUUUGGAUUGGUAGGAGAGCGUUCUGUAGGCCGUUGAAGAAGAAGGGUAACCAACUUUGGAGGUAUCAGAAGUGAGAAUGCAGGAAUAAGUAGCGAGAAAGGGGGCGAGAAUCCCCCUCGCCGGAAGACCAAGGUUUUCAGGGUAAAGCUUGUCUUCCCUGAGUAAGCCGGGACCUAAGCCCAGGCUAUAAUGCGUAGGCGAAUGGAAAACAGAUUAAUAUUUCUGUGCCAGUCAUUUAUUGUGAUGGAGGGACGCAGAAGGGUAUGCACGCGGACGAUUGGUUGUGUCCGUAGAAGUAUGUAAGAUGACUUAGUAGGUAAAUCCAUUAAGUUAUAUCUGAGGUAUGAUAUACAGUCGUAAGAUGAAUGUGCAAAUCCCACGCUGCCAAGAAAAGCUUCUAACGUUAAUAUAUGACUGCCCGUACUGUAAACCGACACAGGUGGUCAGGAUGAGAAAUCUAAGGCGGACAGGCUAACUCUCGUUAAGGAACUCUGCAAAAUAACCUCGUAACUUCGGGAGAAGAGGAGCCCUUGUGUGUGAGUAUACAUGCGAUACAAAGCGCACGAGGGUCGCAGUGAAGAGGCUCAAGCAACUGUUUAACAAAAACACAGGUCUAUGCUAAGCUGUAAGGCGAUGUAUAUGGGCUGACACCUGCCCAGUGCUGGAAGGUUAAGAGGAGGAGUGAGAGCUCCGAAUUGAAGCCCCAGU